UUUUUUUUUUUUCCUUCCAAAUCACUAAUAGCUGCUACUCUACUACCUUGUCAUUUACAGGUUGUUGAUGUGGUUAUUGCAGCAGCACUCUGCUGAAUGGCUGUAAUUUACAUACACUUAUCUCCGCUCCCUUCUGCUUCCCCUGGCCUCCUGUAAUUUGCUUGUUACACUAAUUGGCAGGAAGGCCUUCAUCUCACUGUGGAAGUGGUGUGAUGUGGUACUCUGCGAUGGAGAAGUGAUCUUUGAUGACGCCAAAGAAUUUUUAACAAAGCAACACCAUAGAGAUCUUUGUUAUUUGUACUGCUGCUGGCAGGAAUAUCUGAGUGCUUCACGUCUGAAAUAAGCUUGAGAUUUGCUGCUUCCAGCACAGAUUGAAAGCAAGAGUAGACAUUGGGUUCAGAGCUCAGCAGGAUGUGACAUUUUAUUGUACUGCUUUUGAGCUGCUUUAUUCCCUGGAAACUCUUAUGCUGUCCUGGCCUUAAAGUCAAGUUUGCCACAUGAACAAAUGCAUAUCAAAUGAUGACAGAUCUACAAGUAAAGGAUUCACACAAGGCACAGAGUGGGCAAGAUGACCUCUGGGAGCAACCAGUACAACAUCACCAGGACCAAGAAUAGUUAUCUCUAAGGACUUGGCUUCAUCUGUUCUGAGAUGCUGACAGAUCUGUAGAAGCCUGGUUUUGUCGCUGUAUUUGGAACAACUCCAAGCCGACAAAAGGGGGUAAGUAUUUUUGUUUAAUUAAACUGAAUGUGGUUCUUCAUGGAGAAAAUACCCUGGUUUCAUUCACAAAGAUAACUAUGAUCUAGCUAUGGA
RNAcentral lists this long non-coding RNA (811 nucleotides) under Gallus gallus (chicken). Its description in RNAcentral is "lncRNA (ENSGALG00010012374.1)". The record is from RNAcentral. Lineage: Eukaryota; Metazoa; Chordata; Aves; Galliformes; Phasianidae.